GACGAUGGGGCACUCUUUGCUCUGCAUGAUGGGCUUUUUCUUGCUCAGUACUGUCAUCUGUGGAAAUGAUGAGGAUCACACUACUCAUUCACAAGAUGCUGAUGAAUCAGAAUAUCAGUCCAAAGAGCAAACAACCUCAGGUACAGCUGAUUGUAGCAGGAGUGUAUGUAGUGCAGACUAUGUCACUUAUAUUAAUUAGCAUGUGUGCUGACUACCUUAGUGUUCUUUUUUUUUAAUUAACGCUUGGAGUUAAUUAACGCUUGGAGUUCCCAAAAUCCUCAUCAAAAGCUACACAUAUGCUAAUGACAAAGUACCAUUGAUACAGAUUUAUUUAUUUAUGACUGUCAUGG
This is a long non-coding RNA of Oreochromis aureus, 350 nucleotides long. RefSeq lists it as uncharacterized. The record is from RefSeq and is a predicted model, not a curated record. Lineage: Eukaryota; Metazoa; Chordata; Actinopteri; Cichliformes; Cichlidae. The transcript has 3 exons.